CAGUAGCCACGGGAACACGUAGGGUGCAAGCGUUGUCCGGAAUUAUUGGGCGUAAAGAGCUCGUAGGCGGUUUGUCGCGUCUGCUGUGAAAUCUGGGGGCUCAACCCCCAGCCUGCAGUGGGUACGGGCAGACUAGAGUGCGGUAGGGGAGAUUGGAAUUCCUGGUGUAGCGGUGGAAUGCGCAGAUAUCAGGAGGAACACCGAUGGCGAAGGCAGAUCUCUGGGCCGUAACUGACGCUGAGGAGCGAAAGCAUGGGGAGCGAACAGGAUUAGAUACCCCGGUAGUCCCUGUCUCUUAUAA
RNAcentral lists this ribosomal RNA (301 nucleotides) under uncultured bacterium. RNAcentral's name for it is "partial 16S ribosomal RNA". It matches the Rfam family "Bacterial small subunit ribosomal RNA", at positions 509 to 809 of the family's 1533-position model. The record is from RNAcentral.